GACAGAGGAUGCAAGCGUUGUCCGGAAUCAUUGGGCGUAAAGAGCGUGUAGGCGGCCACUUAAGUCCUGCGUGAAAUCUUGCGGCUCAACCGCAAGCGGUCGUGGGAAACUGGGUGGCUAGAGUGCGGGAGAGGAGAGUGGAAUUCCUGGUGUAGCGGUGGAAUGCGCAGAUAUCAGGAAGAACACCCGUGGCGAAGGCGGCUCUCUGGAACGCAACUGACGCUGAGACGCGAAAGCGUGGGGAGCAAACAGG
Molecule: ribosomal RNA, 253 nt
Filed under: uncultured bacterium
Lineage: Bacteria
Description: partial 16S ribosomal RNA
Rfam family: Bacterial small subunit ribosomal RNA
Source: RNAcentral